RNAcentral lists this ribosomal RNA (268 nucleotides) under uncultured prokaryote. Its description in RNAcentral is "partial 16S ribosomal RNA". It matches the Rfam family "Bacterial small subunit ribosomal RNA", at positions 524 to 792 of the family's 1533-position model. The record is from RNAcentral.
UACGUAGGGGCUAGCGUUAUCCGGAAUUACUGGGCGUAAAGGGUGCGUAGGCGGACUUUUAAGUGAGAUGUGAAAUACCCGGGCUCAACUUGGGUGCUGCAUUUCAAACUGGAAGUCUAGAGUGCAGGAGAGGAGAAUGGAAUUCCUAGUGUAGCGGUGAAAUGCGUAGAGAUUAGGAAGAACACCAGUGGCGAAGGCGAUUCUCUGGACUGUAACUGACGCUGAGGCUCGAAAGCGUGGGGAGCAAACAGGAUUAGAUACCCUGGUA